Molecule: long non-coding RNA, 928 nt
Filed under: Mytilus galloprovincialis (Mediterranean mussel)
Lineage: Eukaryota; Metazoa; Mollusca; Bivalvia; Mytilida; Mytilidae
Source: RNAcentral
UGACGGUCAGUUUUUCUGCAUAGUUCUGCAUCAGGUUACUGUAUUUUGUUGGAUGCUAAUGGUUCUAAUGUAGUUUUGAUAGGUUGUUUUUUGAAUUUUGUGUGUUUGUUCUAUUAAAUGUAAAUUUUUGUAACACUUUAAAGUGGAGUGGAAGGCAUAACAUGUAUAUAGUUCAAAAUACACAGAUUGAGUAAUGAGUACAAAAGGAUUGGAGGGGCAGUAAGAGAUAUGAAUAGUGAUUGGAAGUAAUCACUUAUGAGAAAAGUUGGAAUAUAUACAGGAAAAAAGAGGUACAAUGAAUCACUUGGAAGAAAAGUUAGAAUAAAUACAGGAAAAAUGGGGUGCACUGGUUUGAAAUAUGAAUAUGGAUUGUAUAAUAGUGUGUAAGAAAAGUUGGAAUAUAUACAGGAAAAAUGAGGUGCAAUGAAUCACUUAUAAGAAAAGUUGGAAUAUAUACAGGAAAAAUGGGGUGCAAUGAAUCACUUGUAAGAAAAGUUGGAAUAUAUACAGGAAAAAUGGGGUGCAAUGAAUCACUUGUAAGAAAAGUUAGAAUAUAUACAAGAAAAAAUGGGGUGCAAUGAAUCACUUGUAAGAAAAGUUAGAAUAUAUACAGGAAAAAUGGGGUGCAAUGAAUCACUUGUAAGAAAAGUUAGAAUAUAUACAGGAAAAAUGGGGUGCAAUGAAUCACUUGUAAGAAAAGUUAGAAUAUAUACAAGAAAAAUGGGGUGCAAUGAAUCACUUGUAAGAAAAGUUAGAAUAUAUACAGGAAAAAUGGGGUGCAAUGAAUCACUUGUAAGAAAAGUUAGAAUAUAUACAAGAAAAAUGGGGUGCAAUGAAUCACUUGUAAGGAAAGUUAGAAUAUAUACAGGAUAAAUGGGGUGCAAUGAAUCACUUGUAAGAAAAGUUAGAAUAAAUACAGGAAAAAUGG